RNAcentral lists this ribosomal RNA (464 nucleotides) under uncultured Syntrophobacterales bacterium. RNAcentral describes it as "bacterial SSU rRNA". It matches the Rfam family "Bacterial small subunit ribosomal RNA", at positions 29 to 476 of the family's 1533-position model. The record is from RNAcentral. Lineage: Bacteria; Pseudomonadati; Thermodesulfobacteriota; Syntrophobacteria; Syntrophobacterales.
AACGAACGCUGGCGGCGUGCUUAACACAUGCAAGUCGAGCGAGAAAGGGGGGGCAACCCCCUGAGUAGAGCGGCGCACGGGUGAGUAACGCGUGGGUAACCUACCCCCAGGCGGGGGAUAACCACUCGAAAGGGUGGCUAAUACCGCAUGAGACCACGGGAUCUUCGGAUCCUGAGGCUAAAGAUUGCACCGGCUUGCCGGUGCCGUCACCAGGGGAUGGGCCCGCGUCCGAUUAGCUAGUUGGCGAGGUAAUGGCUCACCAAGGCUACGAUCGGUAGCUGGUCUGAGAGGAUGAUCAGCCACACUGGAACUGAAACACGGUCCAGACUCCUACGGGAGGCAGCAGUGAGGAAUAUUGCGCAAUGGGGGAAACCCUGACGCAGCAACGCCGCGUGGGUGAAGAAGGCCUUCGGGUCGUAAAGCCCUUUCGGACGGGACGAACGCUUUGCGGUGAAAGCCGCGAA